Molecule: ribosomal RNA, 328 nt
Filed under: uncultured Pseudomonas sp.
Lineage: Bacteria; Pseudomonadati; Pseudomonadota; Gammaproteobacteria; Pseudomonadales; Pseudomonadaceae
Description: bacterial SSU rRNA
Rfam family: Bacterial small subunit ribosomal RNA
Source: RNAcentral
UCGUCAGCUCGUGUCGUGAGAUGUUGGGUUAAGUCCGUAACGAGCGCAACCCUUGUCCUAGUUACCAGCACGUUAUGGUGGCACUCUAAGGAGACUGCCGGUGGACAAACCGGAGGAAGUGGGGAUGACGUCAAGUCAUCAUGGCCCUUACGGCCUGGGCUACACACGUGCUACAAUGGUCGGUACAAAGGGUUGCCAAGCCGCGAGGUGGAGCUAAUCCCAUAAAACCGAUCGUAGUCCGGAUCGCAGUCUGCAACUCGACUGCGUGAAGUCGGAAUCGCUAGUAAUCGUGAAUCAGAAUGUCACGGUGAAUACGUUCCCGGGCCUU